Molecule: non-coding RNA, 73 nt
Organism: Flagelloscypha sp. PMI_526
Lineage: Eukaryota; Fungi; Basidiomycota; Agaricomycetes; Agaricales; Niaceae
Source: the annotation of a GenBank genome assembly
GGGCGUGUGAUGGAGUGGCCAAGCAUCUUGGUUGUAAUGCCAGGUAACGCAGGUUCGAUUCCUGCCAUGUCCG